Dromaius novaehollandiae (emu) is the source of this 342-nucleotide long non-coding RNA. RefSeq lists it as uncharacterized. The transcript is spliced from 2 exons. Lineage: Eukaryota; Metazoa; Chordata; Aves; Casuariiformes; Dromaiidae. The record is from RefSeq and is a predicted model, not a curated record.
UUCAGCGCUGCCGGGCGUCACCCGCACGUCACCCGGCGUCACCCGCGCGUCACCCGGCGUCACCCGCGUGCCGCCCCGCCGCCACCCCCCCCGGGCUACGGCAGCGCCCGCAGCGGCUGAUCCCACUGAUGGCGCCAUCGCCAGCAGCAGCAGCAGCGUAGCAACCCAGAAACAACAGGCGGAGCAACAGGCGGUGCCGCCUGUAGCGGGCCCCCCCGCCCACCACCACCCCAGCGGGGUACAGGCGGCCGUAGCGGUGACUCACUGGCGCCGAGGGAGAGCAGGGCCUGGAGCGGGCGCCAUCCCAUCAUGCAGACCAUCAUGGCGGGGAAGAUGGAGAUG